GGGUAAGGCAAGUGAGGCAUUUGCCUGUUGGCUGAAGACUUGUCUGAUUUUUGAUCUUUCAGGUGGUUCAGCUGCUUUGUUCCACUAAACCUGAAAUUAACAGUUGAAGUUGAGAGUUAACUACUUCGAGCCCUCCUUCCUUCUCCUCAAAACAAGUGCAAAUGCCAUGAACAGACAGUUGCAAACAGGACUGAACUGUACACCAGGAAGAGUGGAGCCUGAGGCAUACAGAGAUACUGGGCAAGUGCACACACCAUGCUUGACAGUGGGAACAUUUGGUGAAUAAGCCAGAUAUGUUCCUGGCCCUAAAGAAGCUAUCAGUGGGUC
Long non-coding RNA from Bos indicus x Bos taurus (hybrid cattle), 327 nucleotides. Lineage: Eukaryota; Metazoa; Chordata; Mammalia; Artiodactyla; Bovidae. The record is from Ensembl.